This 325-nucleotide ribosomal RNA is filed under the name uncultured eukaryote. RNAcentral describes it as "partial 18S ribosomal RNA". It matches the Rfam family "Eukaryotic small subunit ribosomal RNA", at positions 1470 to 1796 of the family's 1831-position model. The record is from RNAcentral.
CCCUUAGAUGUUCUGGGCCGCACGCGCGCUACACUGAUGCAUUCAACGAGCCUAUCCUUGACCGACAGGUCCGGGUAAUCUUUGAAUCUGCAUCGUGACGGGGAUAGAUUAUUGCAAUUAUUAAUCUUCAACGAGGAAUGCCUAGUAGGCGCAAGUCAUAAGCUUGCGUCGAUUACGUCCCUGCCCUUUGUACACACCGCCCGUCGCUCCUACCGAUUGGGUGUGCUGGUGAAAUGUUCGGAUCGGCCGUUUGUCGCGGUUUCCGCGGCUCGUGGCUGAGAAGUUCAUUAAACCCUCCCACCUAGAGGAAGGAGAAGUCGUAACA